AUUGUAAGCUACCAGACAUUCUUGUGAUUUGGAUCUGCAAUUCAGAGAAGCUGAUUGUGUGUCAUUUUGCAGUGUGAAUUAGUGGUGAGGACUGCGAGGAAUCUGAUUGUGGUGACAGUUGAGUUCAAGGAGACCAUCUUUUAUUCUAUGAACUACACAUUGGUGAUUAUAAUGUCGAACUUAUGGCUGAUAUAAGUUUGUCAAAAGUUGGAAUCCAAGAAGAUAACAACAUACAAAGAG
Non-coding RNA from Camelina sativa (false flax), 240 nucleotides. NCBI's taxonomy places the organism in Eukaryota, Viridiplantae, Streptophyta, Magnoliopsida, Brassicales, Brassicaceae. The record is from RefSeq and is a predicted model, not a curated record.